RNAcentral lists this ribosomal RNA (466 nucleotides) under uncultured bacterium. Its description in RNAcentral is "partial 16S ribosomal RNA". It matches the Rfam family "Bacterial small subunit ribosomal RNA", at positions 28 to 507 of the family's 1533-position model. The record is from RNAcentral.
GAUGAACGCUGGCGGCGUGCUUAACACAUGCAAGUCGAACGAUGAAGCCCAGCUUGCUGGGUGGAUUAGUGGCGAACGGGUGAGUAACACGUGAGUAACCUGCCCUUGACUCUGGGAUAAGCCUGGGAAACUGGGUCUAAUACUGGAUAUGACUUCUCAUCGCAUGGUGGGGGGUGGAAAGAUUUAUUGGUCUUGGAUGGACUCGCGGCCUAUCAGCUUGUUGGUGAGGUAAUGGCUCACCAAGGCGACGACGGGUAGCCGGCCUGAGAGGGUGACCGGCCACACUGGGACUGAGACACGGCCCAGACUCCUACGGAAGGCAGCAGUGGGGAAUAUUGCACAAUGGGCGCAAGCCUGAUGCAGCGACGCCGCGUGAGGGAUGACGGCCUUCGGGUUGUAAACCUCUUUCAGUAGGGAAGAAGCGAGAGUGACGGUACCUGCAGAAGAAGCGCCGGCUAGCUACGUG